GUGGAGCCGUAGCGAAAGCGAGUCUGAAUAGGGCGUUUAGUAUUUGGUCGUAGACCCGAAACCAGGUGAUCUACCCUUGGUCAGGUUGAAGUUCAGGUAACACUGAAUGGAGGACCGAACCGACUUACGUUGAAAAGUGAGCGGAUGAACUGAGGGUAGCGGAGAAAUUCCAAUCGAACCUGGAGAUAGCUGGUUCUCUCCGAAAUAGCUUUAGGGCUAGCCUCAAGUGAUGAUUAUUGGAGGUAGAGCACUGUUUGGACGAGGGGCCCCUCUCGGGUUACCGAAUUCAGACAAACUCCGAAUGCCAAUUAAUUUAACUUGGGAGUCAGAACAUGGGUGAUAAGGUCCGUGUUCGAAAGGGAAACAGCCCAGACCACCAGCUAAGGUCCCAAAAUAUAUGUUAAGUGGAAAAGGAUGUGGCGUUGCCCAGACAACUAGGAUGUUGGCUUAGAAGCAGCCAUCAUUUAAAGAGUGCGUAAUAGCUCACUAGUCGAGUGACACUGCGCCGAAAAUGUACCGGGGCUAAACAUAUUACCGAAGCUGUGGAUUGUCCUUUGGACAAUGGUAGGAGAGCGUUCUAAGGGCGUUGAAGCAUGAUCGUAAGGACAUGUGGAGCGCUUAGAAGUGAGAAUGCCGGUGUGAGUAGCGAAAGACGGGUGAGAAUCCCGUCCACCGAUUGACUAAGGUUUCCAGAGGAAGGCUCGUCCGCUCUGGGUUAGUCGGGUCCUAAGCUGAGGCCGACAGGCGUAGGCGAUGGAUAACAGGUUGAUAUUCCUGUACCACCUAUA
Molecule: ribosomal RNA, 788 nt
Filed under: Staphylococcus aureus
Lineage: Bacteria; Bacillati; Bacillota; Bacilli; Caryophanales; Staphylococcaceae
Description: partial 23S ribosomal RNA
Rfam family: Bacterial large subunit ribosomal RNA
Source: RNAcentral